AUAUUAUGAGUUAAUGUCCUAAAAGUUGAGAUGUUACACGGGCCCUGUGCCCUCAUCUAUGGAGUGUGUCCUAAGGAACUUUGGGAUUGUGCCAGACUAUUACAAGGGAUCUCAACAUUGUUUUCCUCCUACAUUAUCAUGUACGGAUGUUGAUAUAGUGUUUGAGCACUACCUACAACAUUUGGUUCCAAAGGCAAUAUGAA
Molecule: long non-coding RNA, 203 nt
Filed under: Lathyrus oleraceus (garden pea)
Lineage: Eukaryota; Viridiplantae; Streptophyta; Magnoliopsida; Fabales; Fabaceae
Description: Pisum sativum (pea) long non-coding RNA (PSAT_LNC009207)
Source: RNAcentral